AUUGAACGCUGGCGGCAGGCCUAACACAUGCAAGUCGAGCGAGCGUGGGACUUGUGAAUAAUGUAUGGGCACUGCGCGAUAUAGCGGGAUAACUACGGUAACCGGUAGCUAAUACCGCAUACUAUCGGAUAACCCAGAUGGGAUUAGCUAGUAGGUGUGGUAAUGGCUCACCUAGGCGACGACCCCUAGCUGCCCUGAGAGGAUGAUCAGCAACACUGGGACUGAGACACGGCCCAGACUCCUACGGAGGCAGCAGUGGGGAAUAUUGCACAAUGGGCGCAAGCCUGAUGCAGCCAUGCCGCGUGUAUGAAGAAGGCCCUAGGGUUGUAAAGUACUUUCAGUCGGGAGGCGUUACCGACAGAAGAAGCACCGGCUAACUCCGUGCCAGCAGCCGCGGUAAUUC
This 403-nucleotide ribosomal RNA is filed under the name uncultured bacterium. RNAcentral describes it as "partial 16S ribosomal RNA". It matches the Rfam family "Bacterial small subunit ribosomal RNA", at positions 30 to 526 of the family's 1533-position model. The record is from RNAcentral.